This 494-nucleotide ribosomal RNA is filed under the name uncultured bacterium. RNAcentral's name for it is "partial 16S ribosomal RNA". It matches the Rfam family "Bacterial small subunit ribosomal RNA", at positions 28 to 507 of the family's 1533-position model. The record is from RNAcentral.
GACGAACGCUGGCGGCGCGCUUGACACAUGCAAGUCGAACGGAAAGGCCUGCUUUCCCUUGUGGAUUGCGGGUACUCGAGUGGCGAACGGGUGAGUAACACGUGAGUGAUCUGCCCCCAACUUGGGUAUAAGCCUGGGAAACUGGGUCUAAUUCCCGAUAGGACUGCAGGGUGGUGCCUGUGGUGGAAAACGAUUUUCUAGUGGUUGGGGAUGAGCUCGCGGCCUAUCAGCUUGUUGGUGGGGUAAUGGCCUACCAAGGCGGCGACGGGUAGCCGGCCUGAGAGGGUGGACGGACACAUUGGGACUGAGAUACGGCCCAGACUCCUACGGGAGGCAGCAGUGGGGAAUAUUACACAAUGGGCGGAAGCCUGAUGCAGCGACGCCGCGUGGGGGAUGACGGCCUUCGGGUUGUAAACUCCUUUCGACCGCGAGGAAGCCACCUGGUUGGAAGGGUGGUGACGGUAGUGGUAGAAGAAGCACCGGCUAACUACGUG